Molecule: long non-coding RNA, 381 nt
Filed under: Macaca mulatta (Rhesus monkey)
Lineage: Eukaryota; Metazoa; Chordata; Mammalia; Primates; Cercopithecidae
Description: lncRNA (ENSMMUG00000050338.1)
Source: RNAcentral
GGUAUUAUCCUGGGAGCAGCAGAUGCAAAUAGACAUCCUCAAAAAGCUCAUCGUUUUAUGGGGAAAAGGGAUAACAAAUAAUUGGAAUGCAAAGCAAUAACUUCCACAGUUCAUGAGUGCACAAGACCUGGAAUGAGUUCUGAGCAGACCUCCUCAAGAAUUGGAAUAUUAUCAAGAACAUGGAUACUCAAAAGUCAGUUCUGUGCCCUGUAAAGAAGAAUUUGAGGAGCUUAAAUAGCCUGCUGCUUUGAUCUCAUCUGUCCCUUAGGUUCUCUAAACAGAUUUUAUGACUUUCAAAUUUGGGUAUUUCAAUAGACGUUUCUAGUUUUUGUUACAUCAUCUUUGAAAAAUGCUUGCAAGAUGAAUAAAUUUACAUUCAGC